This 305-nucleotide ribosomal RNA is filed under the name uncultured bacterium. Its description in RNAcentral is "bacterial SSU rRNA". It matches the Rfam family "Bacterial small subunit ribosomal RNA", at positions 337 to 639 of the family's 1533-position model. The record is from RNAcentral.
GCCUACGGGAGGCAGCAGUGAGGAAUAUUGGUCAAUGGGCGCGAGCCUGAACCAGCCAAGUCGCGUGAGGGAAGACGGUCCUAUGGAUUGUAAACCUCUUUUGUCGGGGAGCAAAAGACGCCACGCGUGGCGUUCCGAGAGUACCCGAAGAAAAAGCAUCGGCUAACUCCGUGCCAGCAGCCGCGGUAAUACGGAGGGUGCGAGCGUUAAUCGGAAUUACUGGGCGUAAAGGGUGUGCAGGCGGCUGAGUAAGACAGAUGUGAAAUCCCCGGGCUUAACCUGGGAACCGCAUAUGUGACUGCUUG